RNAcentral lists this ribosomal RNA (406 nucleotides) under uncultured bacterium. RNAcentral describes it as "partial 16S ribosomal RNA". It matches the Rfam family "Bacterial small subunit ribosomal RNA", at positions 30 to 526 of the family's 1533-position model. The record is from RNAcentral.
AUUGAACGCUGGCGGCAGGCUUAACACAUGCAAGUCGAGCGAGCGGCGGACAGGUGAGUAAUGUCUGGGAAACUGCCUGAUGGAGGGGGAUAACUACUGGAAACGGUAGCUAAUACCGCAUACCAUCAGAUGUUCCCAGAUGGGAUUAGCUAGUAGGUGGGGUAACGGCUCACCUAGGCGACGAUCCCUAGCUGGUCUGAGAGGAUGACCAGCAAAACUGGAACGGAGACACGGUCCAGACUCCUCAGGGAGGCAGAAGUGGGGAAUAUUGAACAAGGGGCGAAAGCCUGAUGCAGCCAUGCCGCGUGUGUGAAGAAGGCCUUCGGGUUGUAAAGCACGUUCAGCGAGGAGGCGUUACUCGCAGAAGAAGCACCGGCUAACUCCGUGCCAGCAGCCGCGGUAAUAC